UACGGGGGGGGCAAGCGUUGUUCGGAAUUACUGGGCGUAAAGGGCGAGUAGGUGGCCAUCUAAGUCAGACGUGAAAUCCCCCGGCUUAACCUGGGAACUGCGUCUGAUACUGGACGGCUUGAGUAUGGGAGAGGGAUGCGGAAUUCCAGGUGUAGCGGUGAAAUGCGUAGAGAUCGGGAGGAACACCCGUAGCGAAGGCGGCCACCUGGGCCGACCCUGACGCUGAGGCGCGAAGGCCAGGGGAGCGAACGGG
Molecule: ribosomal RNA, 253 nt
Filed under: uncultured bacterium
Lineage: Bacteria
Description: partial 16S ribosomal RNA
Rfam family: Bacterial small subunit ribosomal RNA
Source: RNAcentral